GGUUAUUCUUCUCCUGCUUGUUUGCUGAUUUUGUCUGCUUUUCCUUUUAACCGUUGGCUGUUUAUUCUCAAAUCCUUUUGCGAAGAGGAAGAAGCUAAGCAUGGCAGAGGUGGCAGCAGGAGCAUUUUUGUCCAGUUUGUUUCAGUUUCUGUUCGAGAGGAUGGAUUCUUUGGAGAUUGUUCAUUUCUUCAAGAGCCAAAAACUUCAUCAUGGAUUGUUGAAGAAGCUGAAGGUAACUAUGAUCACUGUUAAUGGGCUGCUCGUUCAAGCUGAAGAGAAGCAGAUUAUCAUGCCAGCCGUGAAAAGAUGGCUCAACGAGCUUAAAGAUGCUGUCUAUGAA
Molecule: unclassified non-coding RNA, 340 nt
Filed under: Hevea brasiliensis (rubber tree)
Lineage: Eukaryota; Viridiplantae; Streptophyta; Magnoliopsida; Malpighiales; Euphorbiaceae
Source: RNAcentral